This is a long non-coding RNA of Gorilla gorilla gorilla (western lowland gorilla), 3726 nucleotides long. RefSeq lists it as uncharacterized. NCBI's taxonomy places the organism in Eukaryota, Metazoa, Chordata, Mammalia, Primates, Hominidae. The record is from RefSeq and is a predicted model, not a curated record. The transcript has 6 exons.
GGUAACCAGCUCUGAUACCCCUUCACAUAAAGGAAGGUGUGUUUUUUUUGUUUACAAUAGAUUUUGCUGCUACUCACUGUGGAUAUACACUGCAUUUAUGAGCUGUAAUAUUUGCUAUGAAGGUCUGCAGCUUUGCUCCUGAAGCUGGCGAGACCACAUAAACCACCAAGAAGACCUAAGAGUUCCACAGGCACAGUCUUAAGAGCUGUAAUGCUCACCGUGAAGGUCUGCAGUUUCACUCCUGAGCCGGCGAGAGCACGAAGCCACGACAAGGAAAAAGUGAGAACACAUCUCAACAUCAGAAAGAACGAACUGGGCAGGCUGGCUUUAAGAAUCUGUGACACUAACUGCGAGGGUCCGCGGCUUUGUUCUUGAAGUCAGUGAGCCCAAGAUCCCACCAAUUGUAGACACACUGGGUUCAAGCGAUUUUCCUGCCUCAGCCUUCCAAGUAGCUGGGAUUACAGGUGUUCAUGCCGGGGUGGAGGCUUGCUCUGUCUCCCAGGCUGGAGAGCAGUGGUGCAGUCUUGGCUCACUACAACCUCCAUCUCCCAGGUUCAAGUUAUUCUCCUGCCUCAGCCUCCUGAGUAGCUAGGAUUACAGAAGUAGGACCCUUUGAAUGAAAGUUAAAGAUUCAUAUAAGCAACAGAACCUUCCAGGUCUGAGCUGAGGUGUCAUCUCUGAACACCAGGCUGCUGCACUAACCAGAAGACCCCUCCCCUCCGCAGUGGCCUCACUGCAUCGUAAGGACAGAGGAGCCGUUGUCUCCACAGCUGACAGGACAAGAAGUAUGAGCAACGGCACAGACACCAGGAUGACUAAAAGAAAAAACAAACAAACAAACAAAAAACUAGGGUAAUGUUACUGUCUAUCACUGCCCAUGCCAAUGAGUUGAGAUUGAUCUGUAUUUGUACCUAGGACAAAGGCAAUAUCAUCAAUAACUUCUGCCAGAUUCUAGAAACUGAGAAAAUCAAGAUAAAGACGCCAGCAGACUCGAGGCCGGGUGUGAUAGCUCAUGCCUGUAAUCCCAGAACUUUGGGAAGCUGAGGUGGGUGGAUCACCUGAGGUCUGGAGUUCAAGACCAGCUUGACCAACAUGGAGAAACCCCGUCUCUACUAAAAAUACAAAAUUAGCCAGGCGUGGUGGUGGGCAACUGUAAUCCCAGCUACUCCCAGCAGGCAGAGGCGGAAGAAUCCCUUGAACCGGGAGGCGGAGGUUGUAGUGAGCUGAGAUCGCGCCACUGCUCCCCAGCCUGUGCCAGAGCCAGACUCUGUCUCAAACACAAACAACAAAAUAAAACAAGAAAAGAUUUAAUGGAAGACCUCAAUAAGCCAUUGUAGGCUGUAAAAUUCACUUAGUGCAAUCUUUCAAAGAGUCGUUUUGGACUUGAUAGUAGCUCAGUACCAAGAUCAUUACAGAAGUUAAUACCAAUAAUAGCCACUGAAUAUAUUGUCUCUAUAAUGUGGAUCAAAUUCUCAUUUGACUGUACUGGCAUUGGUGAUAGAAGGUGCAAGUUAUACCCCUGAUUUACGCUGGGGUAUAUCAGGUGAUUAAAGUUAAGGCAGGCUAGAGAAAAAGUGAAAGCACUCAAAUUGCUGAUUUGGAGUGAAUGAUAAAGCAAUUUAAUAUACCGUCUCUAAAGCAUCCGUUUUCACCUGUCCGAAGAGUUUUAAAGGAUAUUUGGCCAGAAAAUUUCUACCAUGUGUCAGAAUAUUAAUUUGCAUGUAUGCGUUCAUAGUUCAUGUGAUAUUAUUUUGGUGGUUUUAUUAUAACUGCAUAGAAUGGUUUGCUUCAUACUGAAUAUCUUUCUUUUUUUCUUUCUUUCGUUCUUUCUCUUUCUUACAGCCAUAGGUGCUUUAAGUCAUUAAACUUUGAGCACUAUAAAAAUAUCUAAAGAGUGCUUAUUUUUAUAACAUUAAGAAUACUCCAUUUGCAACUUUAAUUAUAAUUACUUCAUUUUUAAAAUCUCAGAAGAUAAUGAAAUAUGUAGAAUUGCCAAAACAGUUGAGAAAGCUCACUGCAUUCGUUUGGUAGAGCUGUCGUAACAAAGUGCCAUGGACUGGAUGGCUUAAACAGAAACUUAUUUUCUCACAGUUUUAGAUGCCAAAAGUCCAAGAUUAAAGGUAUUGGUAGGUUUGGUUUCUUCUGAGACCUAUUCGAUUGGUCCAUAGACUGCUAUCGUCUCCCCGUGUCUUUACAUCGUCAUUUCUCUGUAUGUGUCUGUGUGUAAAUGUUCUCCUCUUAGAAGCACACCAGUCACAUUGGAUUAGGACGCACCCUACUGACCUUAUUUAACCUUAAUUGUGUACUUCUCUAAAGACGUUGUCUCCAAAUACAGAUACUCUGUGAUAUUGAGGGUUAGGACUUCAACACAUGAAUUUGGCGGGGGUGGGUGGGCACAAUUUAGCUCAUAAAACUCACUAAGGUUUAAUUAGGGCAUGGACUAUAGAGCAUUCUACUGUUAAUUUAGUUUUUGUGUUUGGAAAGCAUUUUGAAACAUAAUGAUUUUUAUUUACAAUUUCAUUAUUUAUAUUUUCAUUAUGUUUAGGGUUACUUGGAGGUACAUGAAGAAAGAAGAGUUCCGCAUUAGUGAGGCAGGGAUGUCAGUAUAUAAGGAAUUGGAAAGACAUCAAUGAUAAUGGCAAAAGCUGCUUAUAAAUUAAAUUAAGAGCUUAAUUAAACUGAGGAAAAAAGCAUAUUGCCAAAUUACAUGCAGUUGUUUUGUAACAGCAUUUGUCCACUUGCUGUGCCCUGAGAUUUCCAAGGCACAUUACUAAGCGUAUUAUAAGAUGGUUAAAUAUGCAUAGUACAAGUAUGUUAUGGAAGCCUGUGUUAACUGAUAUAGUGGGACCACAAUAGUAUGUGUAAGUGAGAUUUGGAAAAUUUGAUAUGCCAGCAAGGACAAAGAAGUGUUGAAUUUGCAAGUUUAUGCACAUAAUUCUGAGAAUCCAGGCAGCUAUUUCUCCUUUUGAAUUGUUCCCUUGGCUAGGGCAUAAGGGUGAGACACAAAACACAUUUGAAUGUGUCACUGUGUAAAUUACCACUGCAAUAUUUUCUGUAUGUUGAAAAACUGGUACUUAUAUGUACUAAUACUAUCUACCAUGAAAAAACCAAUUAAAAAUUUAAAAUAUUAUGUAAAUUAAAUAAAGUUCAAAUACCACUAGCCAGAAAAAAUAUUUUAUAUUAUAGUCUGGGGUCAGAAGAGGAAAAACUUAUGUAAAGUAUCAAAAUUAAUUUUUAUUUCAAUUUAAAUGCACCAUCAUAUAACAGUUUCAUAACUGAAAUUACAUUUGUCAGAAUUUGAUAUUUUCAUUAUUAAAGAAUUGAGGGAAAAUUGAUGGUUAUAAUAUUGAUAUGCAAUGUAAAUAAACUUUUUUUCAUUGUUAUAGGAAUGAAUUGCUCAACUAAUUGGCCAAUGUCAACCACAUAUCUGUUUUCAUGGAAACUGCAGCAAUAUUACUUCAAAUAGUUUCAUUUGUGAAUGUGAUAAACAAUUUUCAGAUAAAAAAUGUACACAUACAUAUACCAUUUGUCCUGGAUUUUUUUUUUUUUUUUUUUUCUUUUGGAGACGGAGUCUAGCUCUGUCACCCAGGCUGGAGUGCAGUGGCGCGAUCCCGGCUCACUGCAAGCUCCAUCUCCCGGGUUCCCGCCAUUCUCCUGCCUGAGCCUCCCGGGUCGCUGGGACUACAAGUGCCCGCCGCUACACCCGGCUAAUUUUUUAUAUUUUUA